This 465-nucleotide ribosomal RNA is filed under the name uncultured bacterium. RNAcentral describes it as "partial 16S ribosomal RNA". It matches the Rfam family "Bacterial small subunit ribosomal RNA", at positions 338 to 795 of the family's 1533-position model. The record is from RNAcentral.
CCUACGGGAUGCAGCAGUAGGGAAUCUUCCACAAUGGGCGCAAGUCUGAUGAAGCAACGCCGCGUGAACGAAGAAUGGUUUCGUCUCGUAAAGCUCUGUUGGUAGGGAAGAAAGAUAGAGGUAGGAACUGGCCUUUAUUUGAAGUUAAUUACUUAGAAAGUCACGGGGAAAUACUGGGCAGCAGCCGCCGUAAUACGAAGGUGGGCAGCGGUGUCCCGAAUUAAUGGGCGUAAAGCGAGUGCCGGCGGUGUAUGAAGUCUGAGGGGAAAGCCUUCGUGUCAACCGGAGAAUUGAAUCAGAAACUGUUGACCUUGAGUGUAGUAGAGAAGAGGGGAACUCCAUGUGGAGCGGUAGAAUGCGUAGAUAUAUGGAAGAACACCAGUGGCGAAGGCGGCUACUUGGUCUGCAACUGACGCUGAGGCUCGAAAGCAUGGGUAGCGAACAGGAUUAGAUACCCUUGUAGUC